This 494-nucleotide ribosomal RNA is filed under the name uncultured bacterium. RNAcentral's name for it is "partial 16S ribosomal RNA". It matches the Rfam family "Bacterial small subunit ribosomal RNA", at positions 28 to 507 of the family's 1533-position model. The record is from RNAcentral.
GACGAACGCUGGCGGCGUGCUUAACACAUGCAAGUCGAACGGUGAAGCGCCUUCCUUUUUGGUGGGUGUGGAUGAGUGGCGAACGGGUGAGUAACACGUGAGUAACCUGCCCCCUUCUUCUGGAUAACCGCAUGAAAGUGUGGCUAAUACGGGAUAUUCUGGGUCUGUCGCAUGAUGGGUCUGGGAAAGAUAUUGUUUCGGUGGGGGAUGGGCUCGCGGCCUAUCAGCUUGUUGGUGGGGUGAUGGCCUACCAAGGCGGUGACGGGUAGCCGGCCUGAGAGGGUGGACGGUCACACUGGGACGGAGACACGGCCCAGACUCCGACGGGAGGCAGCAGUGGGGAAUAUUGCACAAUGGGCGCAAGCCUGAUGCAGCGACGCCGCGGGAGGGAUGGAGGCCUUCGGGUUGUGAACCUCUUUCGCCAGUGAAGCAGGCCUGCCUCGUUUGUGGGUGGGUUGACGGUAGCUGGAUAAGAAGCGCCGGCUAACUACGUG